AGUUUCUUGCCCUUCNGGGNUANACCUCCCACCCUUGAGGUACUUACCUUUUGUUGCUUUGGCGGGUGCCGGCUCACGCUGGCCCCGCCGGAGGACCCCAACUCUCUUGUUUAGUGAUGUCUGAGUACUAUAUAAUAGUUAAAACUUUCAACAACGGAUCUCUUGGUUCUGGCAUCGAUGAAGAACGCAGCGAAAUGCGAUAAGUAAUGUGAAUUGCAGAAUUCAGUGAAUCAUCGAAUCUUUGAACGCACAUUGCGCCCCUUGGUAUUCCGAGGGGCAUGCCUGUUCGAGCGUCAUUAUGACCAAAUCAAGCUCUGCUUGAAGUUGGGACCCGCCAGUCGGCGGCCCUUAAACCCAGUGGCGGUGCUGCCAGGCUCUAAGCGUAGUAAUUUUUCCUCGCUAUAGGGUCUUGGGGACGCUUGCCAGAAGCCUUUAUAUACUAGAUUGACCUCGGAUCAGGUAGGGAUACCCGCUGAACUUAAGCAUAUCAAUAAGCGGAGGA
Molecule: ribosomal RNA, 502 nt
Filed under: uncultured Helotiales
Lineage: Eukaryota; Fungi; Ascomycota; Leotiomycetes; Helotiales
Description: eukaryotic LSU rRNA
Rfam family: 5.8S ribosomal RNA (bases 143-296)
Source: RNAcentral